This is a long non-coding RNA of Vespa mandarinia (Asian giant hornet), 296 nucleotides long. The record is from RefSeq and is a predicted model, not a curated record. NCBI's taxonomy places the organism in Eukaryota, Metazoa, Arthropoda, Insecta, Hymenoptera, Vespidae.
GUAUAUAUAUACGUAGUUAAGCGUACACGUUUUAUCAAGGGUGAAUGCGACACACGAAGCACACCAGGUCUAAAGUGGAAUAGUAAAAGCGAGCAUUACGCCGUGGACACGUGGUAAUUUACAACUGGUGAUCCUCUCUUCGUCGUCCACUCAACGUAUUAGAGAAACCGUACGUUGUUCUCUUGCAUUUCUUUGACUCCUUGCAACUAAUGAUCAUAACACGCUGCAUGACGGAUAGAAGAGAAAGAAAGAAAGAGAGAGAGAGAGAGAGAGAGAAGAAGAAAUACAAAAAAAAA